GAUGAACGCUGACAGCAUGCUUAACACAUCAGCAAUUGAUUGGUGGCGGACGGGUGAGUAACGCUUAAAGAACUUGCCCCCCAGCUAGGGACAACAUUCAGAAAUGAAUGCUAAUACCUGAUACUGUGAGAGAGCUUUGCGUCCCAUUAGCUAGUUGGAGAGGUAACAGCUCACCAAGGCGAUGAUGGGUAGCCGGCCUGAGAGGGUGAACGGCCACAAGGGGACUUAGACACGGCCCUUACUCCUACGGGAGGCAGCGGUGGGGAAUGUUGGACAAUGGACCGAAGUCUGAUCCAGCAAUUCUGUGUGCAAGAUGAAGUUUUCAGGAUGUAAAGUGCUUUCAGUUGAGAAGCGGUACCAACAGAAGAAGGGACGGCUAAAUACGUGCCAGCAGCCGCGGUAAUUC
This 406-nucleotide ribosomal RNA is filed under the name uncultured bacterium. RNAcentral describes it as "partial 16S ribosomal RNA". It matches the Rfam family "Bacterial small subunit ribosomal RNA", at positions 28 to 526 of the family's 1533-position model. The record is from RNAcentral.